Molecule: ribosomal RNA, 253 nt
Filed under: uncultured bacterium
Lineage: Bacteria
Description: partial 16S ribosomal RNA
Rfam family: Bacterial small subunit ribosomal RNA
Source: RNAcentral
UACGUAGGGGGCUAGCGUUGUCCGGAAUCAUUGGGCGUAAAGCGCGUGUAGGCGGUCCGGUAAGUCCGCUGUGAAAGUCGAGGGCUCAACCCUCGAAUGCCGGUGGAUACUGUCGGGCUAGAGUGCGGAAGAGGCGAGUGGAAUUCCUGGUGUAGCGGUGAAAUGCGCAGAUAUCAGGAGGAACACCUAUUGCGAAGGCAGCUCGCUGGGACGUCACUGACGCUGAGACGCGAAAGCGUGGGGAGCAAACAGG